UAGAACUGGCGGCGGUGGAGAAUGGACCGGCGGUGGUGGUGGGGAGAAUGUCGCUGGAGGCGGUGAGUGAACCGGUGCCGGAGGUGGUGGAGAAUGAACUGGUGCUGGAGGAGGAGGAGAAUGGACUGGCGCCGGUGGAGGGGGAGAUUUUGUCGGCACUGGUGAUGGUGGUGGAGGGCGCCCCAUUCCGCCACUAGCAAGCAAAUGUGGGUCUUCUUCGUUUGGUGUGGGCGGUGUUACCGGUGGAGGCGGUGAGUGAACCGGUGUCGGAGGUGGUGGUGAAUGGACUGGUGGCGGUGGUGAGUGAACCGGUGCCGGAGGUGGUGGUGAAUGGAUUGGUGCCGGUGGCAGUGGAGGAGGAGAAUGGACUGGCAUCGGUGGAGGGGGAGAUUGUGUC
RNAcentral lists this long non-coding RNA (397 nucleotides) under Linum usitatissimum (flax). RNAcentral describes it as "long non-coding RNA (LUSI_LNC003308)". Lineage: Eukaryota; Viridiplantae; Streptophyta; Magnoliopsida; Malpighiales; Linaceae. The record is from RNAcentral.